This 654-nucleotide long non-coding RNA is filed under the name Rattus norvegicus (Norway rat). RNAcentral's name for it is "long non-coding RNA NONRATT033835". The record is from RNAcentral. Lineage: Eukaryota; Metazoa; Chordata; Mammalia; Rodentia; Muridae.
GGAAUUAUACCAAGAUAUUUUAUAUUAUUCAUGGCUAUUUUGAAGGGUGUUUUUUCGCUAAUUUCUUUCUCUGUCCAUUUCUCAUUUGUAUAAUAAUGGAGGUCUAAUUGCCUUUAAUACCAGCAUUCAGUUCAGUCAGUUCAAUUGGGUGGAGUUGAGUUUAAUGCUGUCAGUGAGUUGGGAGUCAGUCAGCAUAGGAGGGAGUGCAGUGGAGUGCAGUUCAGUCCCAUUCAGUUUGUGCCGAAGAGGCAGUUGAAACACAGAGAGUAAGGAGCCAAAUGAUUAGAACAAAUUGCUUGAGUUGUUUGAAGCCAAGCAGAGAAAUUCAGUGAGAAGCUGAGAGAAGCCAAAUUGAAUCAAUCAGGUAGGAGAGCCGUUUGGUCCAGAAUAGCUGAAUUGAACCAGCCAGCAACAGUUCAGAAAAAACACUAGAAAGAGUGAGCUAAUUCAGUGCUUCCCAAGUUGAGAUUACAGACCCGUACUGGCUGAUUUUGUGUGUCAACUUGAUGAAAGCUGGAGGUGUUACAGAGAAAGGAGACUUCCUUGAGGAAAUGCCUCCAUGAGAUCCAAAUAUGCUGGACUUUAUGUGGACAAUGGUGUCAGUAUCAAGGAAGCACCAAAAUGACGUUACCCACCAGGAGACAAAAAGCCUGC